Molecule: ribosomal RNA, 494 nt
Filed under: uncultured bacterium
Lineage: Bacteria
Description: partial 16S ribosomal RNA
Rfam family: Bacterial small subunit ribosomal RNA
Source: RNAcentral
GAUGAACGCUGGCGGCGUGCCUAAUACAUGCAAGUCGAGCGAACGGACGAGAAGCUUGCUUCUCUGAUGUUAGCGGCGGACGGGUGAGUAACACGUGGAUAACCUACCUAUAAGACUGGGAUAACUUCGGGAAACCGGAGCUAAUACCGGAUGAUAUUUUGAACCGCAUGGUUCAAAAGUGAAAGACGGUCUUGCUGUCACUUAUAGAUGGAUCCGCGCUGCAUUAGCUAGUUGGUAGGGUAACGGCUUACCAAGGCAACGAUGCAUAGCCGACCUGAGAGGGUGAUCGGCCACACUGGAACUGAGACACGGUCCAGACUCCUACGGGAGGCAGCAGUAGGGAAUCUUCCGCAAUGGGCGAAAGCCUGACGGAGCAACGCCGCGUGAGUGAUGAAGGUCUUCGGAUCGUAAAACUCUGUUAUUAGGGAAGAACAUAUGUGUAAGGAACUGUGCACAUCUUGACGGUACCUAAUCAGAAAGCCACGGCUAACUAC